CCUACGGGGGGCAGCAGUGGGGAAUAUUGCACAAUGGGCGAAAGCCUGAUGCAGCAACGCCGCGUGAAGGAAGACGGUUUUCGGAUUGUAAACUUCUAUCAAUAGGGAAGAAAGAAAUGACGGUACCUAAAUAAGAAGCCCCGGCUAACUACGUGCCAGCAGCCGCGGUAAUACGUAGGGGGCAAGCGUUAUCCGGAAUUACUGGGUGUAAAGGGAGAGUAGGCGGCAAGGUAAGCGAUAUGUGAAAGCCUUAGGCUUAACCAAAGGAUUGCAUAACGAACUAUCUAGCUAGAGUACAGGAGAGG
Molecule: ribosomal RNA, 305 nt
Filed under: uncultured bacterium
Lineage: Bacteria
Description: bacterial SSU rRNA
Rfam family: Bacterial small subunit ribosomal RNA
Source: RNAcentral